RNAcentral lists this long non-coding RNA (2264 nucleotides) under Medicago truncatula (barrel medic). RNAcentral's name for it is "lncRNA gene12318". Lineage: Eukaryota; Viridiplantae; Streptophyta; Magnoliopsida; Fabales; Fabaceae. The record is from RNAcentral.
GGAUAAUCUAAUUUACUCAUCAAAUUCGAAAUUGUAAACAACAUAAUUUAAUUGCAAUUGAACUAAAAUACACAAUAACAAAAACACAAUCUGAAAUUUAACUUUGCGUCAAAAUGUCUCCACAAUAGUGAUCACCAUCAAAAGACUAACAUCUAAACAAAAACUGUCUUUGGCGAAACCAACCACUACCUUAAAUAAUCCCAAUCUUGUUUGCAACAUCCAAAGCAUCAUAAUCAGGUGUCAACCUUACAUAGGCCUUCUUGGUGCCAUCGGGCCUGCAAGAACAGUUCAAAUUUAGAAGAAAAAACAGUAGUUGUUUAAAGUAUACAUGCAAAGUAUGAAACUGCUUUACAAUAGUGUGGGUUUUGAUCUCAUGUUAUUGUUUACAACGGGUUUGUAUUAUGUGUCAUAUAGCCCUUCACAAUAGGGCCCGUGAUCAUAACAGUGUACCACAAAAACCAGUGUAUGUACAUGUUAUUACAACAGUAUAAGCUAGUGUGUUUAAAUUUCAAUACAAGAUUAACAACCAGCAUACAUCUCAAUCAUCUCAAGUUAAGCAGCCAUGAAUUACCGAACAAUUUGCAAAAAAGAUUACAACCUAAAGGCUUACCUGAUCAAGGUGUUAACUUUCUUGGCCUGGAUGUCAUACAUUUUCUUCACGGCAUCCUUGAUUUUCUUUUUGUCAGCUCGCAAGUCAACAAUGAAAACCAAAGUGUUGUUGUCUUCAAUCUUCUUCAUUGCGGACUCAGUUGUGAGUGGAUACUUCAAAAUCUGAUAAUGAUCAAGUUUGUUCCUUGGUGUAGCACUAAUCCGAGGGUAUUUUGGAUUCCUAUCCCUAGAUAAAGUCUUUGGCCUGUGGAAUGUAACAGUUGUCCUGAUCUUCUUUGCCUUUUUCUUGAUGGCAGUGCCUGACUUCACUGCUUUCGCAGCUUUCAAGGCCUGUGCCUUUGGAUCGGUCUUCUUUGCACCAUCACCUGCAAAAAGAAAAAGUUUACCUAGUCACAUUUCAUGCAGCGAAAAAUCCAAGAACUAGAUAUUUUGUAUACAUAAAAUGUCAUGUUUAGAUAAACAACUUAAUUGCAGAUUAUGGCACACACACUUAUCAUGAUUAGUGUUUAUGUGUAAGCGCUUACAUAAGCUAUUCUUUGUGCAAAUGGGAAAAUAAAGUUAAAACUGUCUUUCUAUAUGACAUAAGAUGUUUGAGUUACGUUGGGGGAACUAAACUAAUAAAAACAAGUUGAAAAAUGCUUAUGAAAAAAGUCAUAAGCUGUUACGAAACCUUCUCCCAAACAGUCUCACAAAAAAGUGCCAGUAGAUAAGCUGAAAUAAACCAAUCCAAAAAGGUCCUAAAUCUUCUAUUCAACAAAAAGAUAUCAUUGAUUUCAUAAAUCCUAGAAAAAUGAAGCAUCCAGAGAAAUGAGAUAACUCCAAACCGAAAGCAAUAAUCAUGCAGAUAAGUUCGUCUCCAAUUUAACAAAACCAAAAUAAGUCCAAGCAAAUCAUGUUCCAUCAACUUUUUUAAUCAAAACAGCAAAUUAUCAUAUCAUUUUGAACUUGAGAUGUUUGAGUUGAACUUGAUUUAUCUCAUUGGUUUCAGGGUCAGUACUCAGACAGUCUAACGAAAAUUAUUAAAUUUCAAUCUCUAUUAAAAUAAUAAAGAAAUGAGAAUACAGGUUUAGCAAACAAAGAAGGUUCAGAUACACAGCUUAUUUACAGCCUAUAAAAUUUCAAGUUCUACUCAAACUAUUUAUAUAGCAAAAGAUCUAAAUUGGACGUUGUUUCAGAAGCAAUUUUGGAGAACUUAGAAAAGAAAACUGAAAACAGCUUAUGAACAAUCUCAUAAGCUGUUUUCAGCUUUUCAUAAGUUAUAAGUCAGCUCUUGGUAGUUAACUAGUAAAAAAAAUGAACCAUAACACAAAAAUGAGAUUAUAUAACAAUUUUAGCUGGCAUUAAAAAUACAACUAGUGAAUUUUCUACUCGAAUCAAAUCUACCAGCACAAAAACACAGAUUAUUAAAAUCAACAGUGCAGAUAAACCAAUAUUUAAUCCAGAAACUCGUGAAAGCAGUGAUUUUCGUACUUAAGCAAUUACAUUAUGAAAACAGAUGCAGAAAUCGGAAUAAUUAGAGAGUAAAAUCAAAUCUUCGACUAUUGAAAAGAAAAGAGGGAUAGAUAAAUACCUUUUGGUGGAGCCAUUAAAUCGGUGAAGAUGAAGAAACCCUAAGAUGUGAAAUCUGCGUGAAGCUUGUGUGAUGGAAGCAGACA